This 255-nucleotide unclassified non-coding RNA is filed under the name Hevea brasiliensis (rubber tree). Lineage: Eukaryota; Viridiplantae; Streptophyta; Magnoliopsida; Malpighiales; Euphorbiaceae. The record is from RNAcentral.
CUUAAUUUGGACAACAAUAACCUCAAUGGUUCUAUCAAUAUCAACUGUUCUGCAAUGAUUCAUCUCGUUUCUCUGUAUCUUGGUUCAAAUAAUUUCCAUGGUCCAAUCCCUGAAACCUUCUCCUCUUGCCACAGCUUGAGUAUUUUAGAUCUUAGUGGAGACAAACUUGGUGGAGAAGUCCCUUCCAACUUCAAGAAUCUGCAGGCCCUGACGUCCCUCUCACUCUCAAAUACAAACAUUACAAACAUAUCGGCA